CUAACACAUGCAAGUCGAAUGGUAACAGGAAACAGCUUGCUGUUUCGCUGACGAGUGGCGGACGGGUGAGUAAUGUCUGGGAAACUGCCUGAUGGAGGGGGAUAACUACUGGAAACGGUAGCUAAUACCGCAUAACGUCGCAAGACCAAAGAGGGGGACCUUCGGGCCUCUUGCCAUCAGAUGUGCCCAGAUGGGAUUAGCUAGUAGGUGGGGUAACGGCUCACCUAGGCGACGAUCCCUAGCUGGUCUGAGAGGAUGACCAGCCACACUGGAACUGAGACACGGUCCAGACUCCUACGGGAGGCAGCAGUGGGGAAUAUUGCACAAUGGGCGCAAGCCUGAUGCAGCCAUGCCGCGUGUAUGAAGAAGGCCUUCGGGUUGUAAAGUACUUUCAGCGGGGAGGAAGGGAGUAAAGUUAAUACCUUUGCUCAUUGACGUUACCCGCAGAAGAAGCACCGGCUAACUCCGUGCCAGCAGCCGCGGUAAUACGGAGGGUGCAAGCGUUAAUCGGAAUUACUGGGCGUAAAGCGCACGCAGGCGGUUUGUUAAGUCAGAUGUGAAAUCCCCGGGCUCAACCUGGGAACUGCAUCUGAUACUGGCAAGCUUGAGUCUCGUAGAGGGGGGUAGAAUUCCAGGUGUAGCGGUGAAAUGCGUAGAGAUCUGGAGGAAUACCGGUGGCGAAGGCGGCCCCCUGGACGAAGACUGACGCUCA
This 712-nucleotide ribosomal RNA is filed under the name uncultured Pseudomonadota bacterium. RNAcentral's name for it is "bacterial SSU rRNA". It matches the Rfam family "Bacterial small subunit ribosomal RNA", at positions 48 to 749 of the family's 1533-position model. Lineage: Bacteria; Pseudomonadati; Pseudomonadota. The record is from RNAcentral.